GCUGUUGUAAAUAUUGAUUGAGCUGUCGUUGUAGGUUCAGUUUCUGAGGUAGAACUAAACUGAGUUGUUUGUGCCUGCUGGCUUGUUGUUGGCUCUACACUGGAAGUAGAUAUUUUUGCUGUUGUUGAAAUCAUUUGUGAUGUACUUUGUCCAUCUGUUGUGGAAGACGGUAAGGAUGGAGAGGUACCUGUUGUGGAUAAUGUCAUUUCCAGUGUUGAACCACUUUCAAGUGUAGAUGAUUCUAAUGUGGACGUGCUCAUAGGGGUCAAAACUGUUGUAAAGAUUGAUUGACCUGUCGCUGUAUAUUCAGUUUCUGUGGUAGAGCUAAACUGAGUGGUUUGAGCCUGCUGGCUUGUUGUUUGCUCCACACUGGAAGUGGGAAUUUCUGUUGUAGAUGAAGUGAAUUCUGAUGUACUUUGUCCUUCUGUCAUAGUAGAUGUUGAAAAUGGAGAGGUAUCUGUUGUGGAUAAUGUAAUUUCCUCUGUUGUAACACUUUCAAGUGUAGAUGAUUCUAAUGUCGACAUGCUUAUAGAGGUCAUAACUGUUGUAAAUGCUGAUUGAGCUGUCGUUGUAGAUUCAGUUUCUGCGGUAGAACUAAACUGAGUUGUUUGUGCCUGCUGGCUUGUUGUUGGCUCUACACUGGAAGUAGAUAUUUUUGCUGUUGUUGAAAUCAUUUGUGAUGUACUUUGUCCAUCUGUUGUGGUAGACGGUAAGGAUGGAGAGGUACCUGUUGUGGAUAAUGU
Long non-coding RNA from Cyprinus carpio carpio, 743 nucleotides. The record is from Ensembl. Lineage: Eukaryota; Metazoa; Chordata; Actinopteri; Cypriniformes; Cyprinidae.